GCGGGCAUAGCUCAGGUGGUUAGAGCGUCUGACUGUGGCUCAGAAGGUCGUCGGUUCGAGUCCGACUGCCCGCCCUA
Molecule: transfer RNA, 77 nt
Filed under: Bacteroidota bacterium
Lineage: Bacteria; Pseudomonadati; Bacteroidota
Description: Bacteroidetes bacterium (hot springs metagenome) tRNA-His
Rfam family: tRNA
About the family: Transfer RNA (tRNA) molecules are approximately 80 nucleotides in length. Their secondary structure includes four short double-helical elements and three loops (D, anti-codon, and T loops). Further hydrogen bonds mediate the characteristic L-shaped molecular structure. tRNAs have two regions of fundamental functional importance: the anti-codon, which is responsible for specific mRNA codon recognition, and the 3' end, to which the tRNAs corresponding amino acid is attached (by aminoacyl-tRNA synthetases). tRNAs cope with the degeneracy of the genetic code in two manners: having more than one tRNA (with a specific anti-codon) for a particular amino acid; and 'wobble' base-pairing, i.e. permitting non-standard base-pairing at the 3rd anti-codon position.
Source: RNAcentral